CCUACGGGUGGCAGCAGUGGGGAACAUUGCGCAAUGGGCGAAAGCCUGACGCAGCGACGCCGCGUGAGGGAUGAAGGUCUUCGGAUCGUAAACCUCUGUCAGCAGGGAAGAACGGUCAAUGUGCUAAUCAGCAGUGAAUUGACGGUACCUGCAAAGGAAGCACCGGCUAACUCCGUGCCAGCAGCCGCGGUAAUACGGAGGGUGCGAGCGUUAAUGGGAAUUGCUGGGCGUAAGGCGCUCGUAGGCGGUAUGUCAAGUCAAGGGUGAAAUCCCCGCGCUCAACGUGGGAACUGCAUUGGAAACUGGCAAACUGGAGUGUGUGAGAGGAUAGUGGAAUUCCAGGUGUAGGGGUGAAAUCCGUAGAUAUCUGGAGGAACAUCAGUGGCGAAGGCGACUAUCUGGAACAUAACUGACGCUGAGGAGCGAAAGCGUGGGGAGCAAACAGGAUUAGAUACCCUAGUAGUC
This 465-nucleotide ribosomal RNA is filed under the name uncultured bacterium. RNAcentral's name for it is "partial 16S ribosomal RNA". It matches the Rfam family "Bacterial small subunit ribosomal RNA", at positions 338 to 795 of the family's 1533-position model. The record is from RNAcentral.